Long non-coding RNA from Crotalus tigris (Tiger rattlesnake), 360 nucleotides. RefSeq lists it as uncharacterized. The transcript has 3 exons. Lineage: Eukaryota; Metazoa; Chordata; Lepidosauria; Squamata; Viperidae. The record is from RefSeq and is a predicted model, not a curated record.
UGUCAGGUUUGCUCUGGUUUUGUGCAAGUGUUUUGCAGAGCUAUGUUCACAGUGAAUCUAGGCAGGCUCCUUUUGCCCUCAGGUUUUCUGGAAUAAUAGUCUUUUAGGAUAAUGCUGGAACGGCACUCUUCUAGAGAAGAGGUACAUCCCAACCCAGUGACACUCCAUUUAAAAGCAUUUCUUUGCAACAUGACCAAUCAGCGAACCACACACGUAGGCUGGUUAGAUAUUUAAACCAAAAUCCAUGUAACUUCUCAGUCCAAGGGUGAUCUGACUUUCUCUGCAGAACUGCAAAAUUUCUUCAUUGUCAGGUUUUAUAUAUUUUUUUAACUUUAAUGGUGCUUGGAGCCAAUAAUCCUG